RNAcentral lists this transfer RNA (63 nucleotides) under Ceriodaphnia cornuta. RNAcentral's name for it is "tRNA-Thr". It matches the Rfam family "tRNA". From Rfam's summary of the family: Transfer RNA (tRNA) molecules are approximately 80 nucleotides in length. Their secondary structure includes four short double-helical elements and three loops (D, anti-codon, and T loops). Lineage: Eukaryota; Metazoa; Arthropoda; Branchiopoda; Diplostraca; Daphniidae. The record is from RNAcentral.
GUCUUAGUAGUUUAAAAGAAAACACUGGUCUUGUAAGCCAGUAAUAACGUUAGUUCUAAGGCA